AUUGAACGCUGGCGGCAGGCCUAACACAUGCAAGUCGAGCGGAUGAAGGGAGCUUGCUCCUGGAUUCAGCGGCGGACGGGUGAGUAAUGCCUAGGAAUCUGCCUGGUAGUGGGGGAUAACGUCCGGAAACGGGCGCUAAUACCGCAUACGUCCUGCGGGAGGCAGUGGGGGAUCUUCGGACCUCACGCUAUCAGAUGAGCCUAGGUCGGAUUAGCUAGUUGGUGGGGUAAAGGCCUACCGAGGCGACGAUCCGUAACUGGUCUGAGAGGAUGAUCAGUCACACUGGAACUGAGACACGGUCCAGACUCCUACGGGAGGCAGCAGUGGGGAAUAUUGGAAAAUGGGCGAAAGCCUGAUCCAGCCAUGCCGCGUGUGUGAAGAAGGUCUUCGGAUUGUAAAGCACUUUAAGUUGGGAGGAAGGGCAGUAAGUUAAUACCUUGCUGUUUUGACGUUACCAACAGAAUAAGCACCGGCUAACUUCGUG
RNAcentral lists this ribosomal RNA (484 nucleotides) under uncultured bacterium. RNAcentral's name for it is "partial 16S ribosomal RNA". It matches the Rfam family "Bacterial small subunit ribosomal RNA", at positions 30 to 507 of the family's 1533-position model. The record is from RNAcentral.